This is a long non-coding RNA of Bubalus bubalis (water buffalo), 382 nucleotides long. RefSeq lists it as uncharacterized. The transcript is spliced from 3 exons. NCBI's taxonomy places the organism in Eukaryota, Metazoa, Chordata, Mammalia, Artiodactyla, Bovidae. The record is from RefSeq and is a predicted model, not a curated record.
CUCAGUGUCUCCUCUCCUUCGGGAGAACGGAAGGACGCCUGCGGCCUACGUAUGGCUGAGACAGGGAAAGGCAACAGGAAAAUGCAAAGGGAGAAAAUGGGAAAGUGAUGUGAAAUCUACCUUAAGAAGGAAAGUCAUGGAAUUUAGGAGUUGGUAGCAAACUUUAAAAUCAUCUGGCCAGUCACUCCAUUUUACAGUCUAUAUUCCCAGGAGAAUGGAAGUUCCUUGAGGACAAGAGCCACAACUUAUUAAUCAAUAUUUUGAAUGAGUUGCUGCUGCUGCUAAGUCACUUUAGUCGUGUCCGACUCUGUGCGACCCCGUAGAUGGCAGCCCACCAGGCUCCCCCGUCCCUGGGAUUCUCCAGGCAAGAACACUGGAGUGG